CCAAUAUUCUCUAUAGAUCUCCAAAGAUAGUUUUUAUUUUGAAACUCUGUGGUUAUUGGAAUGUCAGAUAACAGACUUUUUUAUCUUCUGGCAUAGUAUGUCUUUCCUGUUCUAAGAGGUGAGCAGUUGAGCGAUCUUACCCUCUACCUCUGCCUCUGUCUCCUGGUUUAUGUAAAUGAAUUUUACCUAUUGCAGGCAGUUUAUUAUUGCUCCACAUGUUUUUGUUCUCAUUCUUUCUCUUCUUCUUUUUUGUUUUUCAAGACAGGGUUUCUCUGUGUAGCCCUGGCUGGCCUGGAACUCACUCUGUAGACCAGGCUGGCCUUUUUCUCAGAUCUAUCUGCCUCUGCUUUACAUGUUCUUACAUCUCAAGGUUUUUGGUCCCUGAUUUUAGGGAGUAUAUCUCUGUUCAUGAUUAGCUUUCUGAAGGAAAUCUGUGCCUCCUAAGUUUUCUUUCACUUUCCUACCUAAUAAUUUUUGUUCUGUUCUUUUCUUUCACUUUAAGAGGUGAGGGCUGGAGAGAUAUUCCAGUUGUUGAAAUACUUGCUACACAAGCUUGAGGGCCUGAGUUUAGCUCCAAACUCACAUUAAAGACAAAAUAAAACAAAGCAAAAAAUCAAACACCCAGAACUAUGCAUGAUGGUUGUCUGUAGAGGAGACAGGUCGGGCUUGCUGGCCAGGAGCCUAGCCUACUCAGUGAGUUCCAGGUCAUUGAGACCCUGCCCUCUUUUCUUUCUUUAAAAAAAAAAAAAAAAAAAGAAUG
Molecule: long non-coding RNA, 760 nt
Filed under: Rattus norvegicus (Norway rat)
Lineage: Eukaryota; Metazoa; Chordata; Mammalia; Rodentia; Muridae
Description: long non-coding RNA NONRATT013278
Source: RNAcentral